Molecule: non-coding RNA, 125 nt
Organism: Hordeum vulgare subsp. vulgare (domesticated barley)
Lineage: Eukaryota; Viridiplantae; Streptophyta; Magnoliopsida; Poales; Poaceae
Source: Rfam
UUACUACUCCCUCCGUCCGAAAAUACUUGUCAUAGGCAUGGAUAUAUCUAGAUGUAUUUUAGUUCUAGGUACAUCCAUUUUUAUCAAUUUGUGCGACAAGUAAUCCUGGACGAAGGGAGUAUUUG